RNAcentral lists this ribosomal RNA (468 nucleotides) under uncultured bacterium. Its description in RNAcentral is "partial 16S ribosomal RNA". It matches the Rfam family "Bacterial small subunit ribosomal RNA", at positions 28 to 507 of the family's 1533-position model. The record is from RNAcentral.
GACGAACGCUGGCGGCGUGCUUAACACAUGCAAGUCGAACGGAAAGGCCCUGCUUUUGUGGGGUGCUCGAGUGGCGAACUGGUGAGUAACACGUGAGUAACCUGCCCUUGACUUUGGGAUAACUUCAGGAAACUUGGGCUAAUACCGGAUAGGAGCUCCUGCUGCAUGGUGGGGGUUGGAAAGUUUCGGCGGUUGGGGAUGGACUCGCGGCGUAUCAGCUUGUUGGUGGGGUAGUGGCUUACCAAGGCUUUGACGGGUAGCCGGCCUGAGAGGGUGACCGGACACAUUGGGACUGGGAUAAGGCCCAGCCUACAACGGGAGGCAGGGGUGGAGAAUAGUACACAAGGGGAGGAAGCCUGAUGCAGCACAGCCGCGUGGGGGAUGACGGGAUUCGGGUAGUAAACCGAUUUCGCCUGUGACGAAGCGUGAGUGACGGUAAUGGGUAAAGAAGCACCGGCUAACUACGUG